RNAcentral lists this ribosomal RNA (492 nucleotides) under uncultured bacterium. RNAcentral's name for it is "partial 16S ribosomal RNA". It matches the Rfam family "Bacterial small subunit ribosomal RNA", at positions 29 to 507 of the family's 1533-position model. The record is from RNAcentral.
AGUGAACGCUGGCGGUAGGCCUAACACAUGCAAGUCGAACGGCAGCACAGUAAGAGCUUGCUCUUACGGGUGGCGAGUGGCGGACGGGUGAGGAAUACAUCGGAAUCUACUUUUUCGUGGGGGAUAACGUAGGGAAACUUACGCUAAUACCGCAUACGACCUACGGGUGAAAGCAGGGGAUCUUCGGACCUUGCGCGAUUGAAUGAGCCGAUGUCGGAUUAGCUAGUUGGCGGGGUAAAGGCCCACCAAGGCGACGAUCCGUAGCUGGUCUGAGAGGAUGAUCAGCCACACUGGAACUGAGACACGGUCCAGACUCCUACGGGAGGCAGCAGUGGGGAAUAUUGGACAAUGGGCGCAAGCCUGCUCCAGACAUCCCGCGUGGGUGAAGAAGGCCUUCGGGUUGUAAAGCCCUUUUGUUGGGAAAGAAAAGCAGCAGGUUAAUACCCCGCUGUUCUGACGGUACCCAAAGAAUAAGCACCGGCUAACUUCGUG